GGAGACUUGGGGGAGCGGUUUAACCCAGCGGUCUUGAAAACCGCCGGCCCGCAAGGGCCCGUGAGUUCGAAUCUCACAGUCUCCGCCA
This 88-nucleotide transfer RNA is filed under the name Ramlibacter algicola. RNAcentral's name for it is "Ramlibacter sp. CrO1 tRNA-Ser". It matches the Rfam family "tRNA". From Rfam's summary of the family: Transfer RNA (tRNA) molecules are approximately 80 nucleotides in length. Their secondary structure includes four short double-helical elements and three loops (D, anti-codon, and T loops). Lineage: Bacteria; Pseudomonadati; Pseudomonadota; Betaproteobacteria; Burkholderiales; Comamonadaceae. The record is from RNAcentral.